CUUCCUUUUUCUUUCCCGAUCUUCUCUCUAUUUGCUCUCUCGAUCUAAAAAGGCGAAUCGAUGGUCUAGAAAAAUCAAUCGAUUCGACUGGAGGAUUGAUGGUCACCCGAGAAUAAGAUUCUCAUCAAAACCGAACCAAAGCCCUCGUCUUCGUCUUCACCGCAUCAACCCACGACGGAGACGAAACAAGUCGACGAAGAUGAUUCUUACGGAUUCGAGACUGCCAGCGAACGUGAAAUCAGCUAUGAAGAAGGAGAUGAAAAUGGUACUAAAAACGACGCCGUCACUAGUCAGGAGGAGAAACCACAACACUAGGAGAACAAAAAAGAACAGAUUUUGUGGAGGAGGAUGCACUACGAUUGAUCUGUGAUGGCUUUGAUUGAUCCUUGUCAAGCGGGUCUGAAGAUGCAGGAGCAGGGAGAUUCAGAUCACCAGGAUCAGGAGUAGGAUUAGUUGCUCCUUCUCCUCAGUAGCAAUCAAGCACAAGCUCAAGCUUAAGCUCAACAUCUCAAGACAUCGAACAGAGUGUUAAGCUCAACAUCUCGUUUUUGACUAGGCUCCUCAUACAACUACUGACCAAGAACAUACAACAAGCUAUUUUGGAUUCAGUGGAAUCCCAUGAAGAAAAAAAACAUCAACGGUCUUGUAUAAGAGUUGUAGAUUCUGUGUUAUGGCAUGCUGCUUCAAGUACUCUUUGUAAAUUCAAAAUUCAAUGUUACAACAAUGUUUAAGUGAAUCAUUGUUAAUCUUUUCAUAUCCACAAUUGUGAAUCAUUUUGAAUCAUUGAAACAUUGUUUAAGGAUGAGUGUGGACAACUUCUUGAAACAUUGUUUAAGUGAGCUUUUGUUGUUCUGCAAUAUAGGUUCCUUGUAGAUAUUUCACCAUUUUGAGUUUUCUUCUAUAUCAAUUGAAUUUUUAUUGUA
Molecule: long non-coding RNA, 923 nt
Organism: Camelina sativa (false flax)
Lineage: Eukaryota; Viridiplantae; Streptophyta; Magnoliopsida; Brassicales; Brassicaceae
Source: RefSeq, a predicted model, not a curated record